UACGUAGGGUGCGAGCGUUGUCCGGAAUUAUUGGGCGUAAAGAGCUCGUAGGCGGUUUGUUGCGUCGGCCGUGAAAACCUGCAGCUUAACUGUGGGCCUGCGGCCGAUACGGGCAGACUUGAGUUCGGUAGGGGAGACUGGAAUUCCUGGUGUAGCGGUGAAAUGCGCAGAUAUCAGGAGGAACACCCGGGGCGAAGGCGGCCCUCUGGCUCGACCCUGACGCUGAGGCGCGAAAGCGUGGGGAGCGAACGGG
This 253-nucleotide ribosomal RNA is filed under the name uncultured bacterium. Its description in RNAcentral is "partial 16S ribosomal RNA". It matches the Rfam family "Bacterial small subunit ribosomal RNA", at positions 524 to 776 of the family's 1533-position model. The record is from RNAcentral.